Rhodotorula diobovata is the source of this 105-nucleotide non-coding RNA. Lineage: Eukaryota; Fungi; Basidiomycota; Microbotryomycetes; Sporidiobolales; Sporidiobolaceae. The record is from the annotation of a GenBank genome assembly.
GGCGUUUUGGCCGAGUGGUCUAAGGCGUUAGCUUCAGGUUCACAGCUUCUAGAAGCAAGUGUCCGCUAAUCCGAAAGGGCGUGGGUUCGAAUCCCACAGACGUCA